This 270-nucleotide ribosomal RNA is filed under the name uncultured bacterium. Its description in RNAcentral is "partial 16S ribosomal RNA". It matches the Rfam family "Bacterial small subunit ribosomal RNA", at positions 28 to 305 of the family's 1533-position model. The record is from RNAcentral.
GACUAACGCUGGCGGCGUGCCUAACACAUGCAAGUCGAACGAGAGUAGCAAUACUCUAGUGGCAGACGGGUGAGUAACGCGUGGUCAACCUACCUCUUUGUGGGGGAUAACUAGCCGAAAGGUUAGCUAAUACCGCAUACGAUCUUCGAGAGACAUCUCUUGAAGAUGAAAGGAGCAAUUCGCAAAGAGACGGGACCGCGUCCCAUUAGCCAGUUGGUGGGGUAACGGCCUACCAAAGCAACGAUGGGUAGCUGGCUUGAGAGAGCGACC